CUUAACCGACCCCAACCACAACGGCCGUUCCCGGUUCUGACCGUAGGUCGCUAGCAGCGCCUGCGCCUC
This 69-nucleotide antisense RNA is filed under the name Saccharopolyspora spinosa. RNAcentral's name for it is "ASpks TB sRNA". It matches the Rfam family "ASpks TB sRNA". The record is from RNAcentral. Lineage: Bacteria; Bacillati; Actinomycetota; Actinomycetes; Pseudonocardiales; Pseudonocardiaceae.